GUCCUCGUCGUCUAGCCCGGCCUAGGACACCGCCCUUUCACGGCGGUAACACGGGUUCAAAUCCCGUCGAGGACGCCA
This 78-nucleotide transfer RNA is filed under the name Terriglobia bacterium. RNAcentral describes it as "tRNA-Glu". It matches the Rfam family "tRNA". From Rfam's summary of the family: Transfer RNA (tRNA) molecules are approximately 80 nucleotides in length. Their secondary structure includes four short double-helical elements and three loops (D, anti-codon, and T loops). Lineage: Bacteria; Pseudomonadati; Acidobacteriota; Terriglobia. The record is from RNAcentral.